This 387-nucleotide long non-coding RNA is filed under the name Nicotiana benthamiana. Its description in RNAcentral is "long non-coding RNA (NBEN_LNC019606)". Lineage: Eukaryota; Viridiplantae; Streptophyta; Magnoliopsida; Solanales; Solanaceae. The record is from RNAcentral.
CACUAUAGCGGAAUACGCAAGAAGAUGCAAACUAGAUAGCAACAGAUUAAACCUCACACGGAAUGCUAGCUAGAAUACGUAAAAAGGUGUAUAGAGUAAACAAGAGAGCGGGAGGUACCAACUCCCGGUGGAAAAACCUGAAAGUAGGCUUUGAUGCCCCCGAGGUCAACUAUUACCAAAUCUUGCACGUCCCGGCAGGUGUUGCUUAGCUCUUGACUCCCAAACGCCGCAAACUGGCCUCGCUGCCGCGACUAGUACCUGGGGAAAGUUUUCCUGAAGCCUAUCAGAACGGGGAGUUCUGCUGAGGAAAAACCUGAAACUAGGCUUUGAUGCGCUCGAGGUCAACUGCUACCAACUCUUGCACGUCCCGGCCGGUGUUGCUUAGCU